AGUGAACGCUGGCGGUAGGCCUAACACAUGCAAGUCGAACGGCAGCACAGUAAGAGCUUGCUCUUACGGGUGGCGAGUGGCGGACGGGUGAGGAAUACAUCGGAAUCUACUUUUUCGUGGGGGAUAACGUAGGGAAACUUACGCUAAUACCGCAUACGACCUACGGGUGAAAGCAGGGGAUCUUCGGACCUUGCGCGAUUGAAUGAGCCGACGUCGGAUUAGCUAGUUGGCGGGGUAAAGGCCCACCAAGGCGACGAUCCGUAGCUGGUCUGAGAGGAUGAUCAGCCACACUGGAACUGAGACACGGUCCAGACUCCUACGGGAGGCAGCAGUGGGGAAUAUUGGACAAUGGGCACAAGCCUGAUCCAGCCAUACCGCGUGGGUGAAGAAGGCCUUCGGGUUGUAAAGCCCUUUUGUUGGGAAAGAAAAGCAGCAGGUUAAUACCCCGCUGUUCUGACGGUACCCAAAGAAUAAGCACCGGCUAACUUCGUG
This 492-nucleotide ribosomal RNA is filed under the name uncultured bacterium. RNAcentral describes it as "partial 16S ribosomal RNA". It matches the Rfam family "Bacterial small subunit ribosomal RNA", at positions 29 to 507 of the family's 1533-position model. The record is from RNAcentral.